CUACCUUGGUGAAUCUGAGAGUGACACAGCAAUCAGUGAUGCAGGCCCGGCAGAAGCGGCAGCCACAGAAGAUGCUCACAGGUCCGUCGUGUGCUCCAGGCAGACAGUGCAGAUCACAUUCUCUGCAAUGUUUCUACUUGGCUGUGUCCAGGCCGGGUCCCAAAGUCCAUGCAUUUACUGCCUUUGGCUUCAUGGAUGAGCAACCCUUCCAUCCACGAUGACAGUGAGAGGAAGGUGAAGUCUUGUGUUCAGUGGUUGAUGGAGGAGCCAAGUUCCUUUGAUGACGAGACCAAGAUCUUCACAAGUCAGAUGAAGAUUUUCCACUUAAACCUGGGAAAUGUGCAGCGGUGCUACAACCAAACCAUGGAUCAUGGUCUGAACAAAGAGCAUCCACCAAAUCAAGCAGCCCAAAAGCACAGCCACACAUGGACCUGAGAGACAGAGGAGUUCACUCAUCUCCUUGUCCCUGCUGCUGCUGACUUCUCUCCUUCCAACUGACUUCCUGGUAACAUCUGCUCUCCAAGGUGAAAACAUGAGGAGGGGUCUAGCCAACCCCUGCUGAUGGGCGCUUCCUUCCACCUUGCCUGCUGCUCCCUAGUGGGGCCUCGUAGAUGGUGAGAGGAAAGCAAGUAGGACAGGAAGAGAACUUGACAUUUAUGGUAGUAAAGAGAAGGUAGGAUGUGUGUCUUCAAGAAAGGAAAGGGCUGUCAUUGGGAGGAGGACUGAGUAGUUCCUUGUGGACUGUCAGGUUGGAGCCCUCAGUUUCUUGCUGAAUGUUAGCGGGAGGCUGACAUCAGUUCCCUGCAAUGAAGGCCUUUCCAGCACAGCUGCUGGCUUUGUCAGAGCUUGCAAGCCAAGAAAGACGAUGGAAGAGUCAGCUAGCAAGACAGACACCAUGAUCUUAUAUGAUCUACUCAUAAAAGUGACAUCACUGUUGCCACAUUGGCAUGUUGGUUAGAAGAUGGUCACAUGUCCCUCCCACACUCAUUGGGAGGAGCUUCCGGAAGGGUGUGAAUCCCAGGAGGCAGGGAUCACUGGGCACCAUCUUAGAAUCUGUCUGCACAGGGACAUUCCAGGUCCGAGAAAGCAGGAACUAAGUGAGGUUGCGAGGCCUCUGCACUAGAUGUGUUCAUGCACAGGAUGGAGAAUCACUGAACGAGAUUGUUAUAACUGUGAGCCCUAUGUUAGGCAAGAUGAUCUGCAGAGCUGAGCUGUGUUUGUCAAAGCACGAUUCUGGAUACAAGAAUCGCAGUGUCAUUGGAAAGACUCCUCUUGAGUUUUGUGUGAACCUGAGAAAGUGUCCUCUCUGGAUAUUUCCCUCUUUACUUUCAGACCUCCUACAUCUCUAGGAAAGUGCCAUCACUAAAGUGAGCUGGUUCUUUUUUCCACGUGUCAUUCUGCCAGGAAAAUCCAGGAUCCUACUAUUUCUUCCAGCUGGCUUUCAUACAGGAUCCCACAAAGUCACUUCUUGUGAUUCCACUUGGUUGGUUUUUUCCUCUUCAUUCAGGUCAUUUCUUUGUGACUUUAUUCCCUUGUGUUGAUUAGUCAGCUCCAUUAGGACUAAGCUUUGGACCAAAUGGGUGAAGCUUCUUCUUCAGGUCUCAGCUCACUUCCCACACAGGGACAAGACAAACUUAGUGGGGCUCCCGGAAGGUCAUGAACUGGCACAAUUCCACAUUAGGAUGAGACAUUUAGGUCACAAAGGGAUGUACUUUAGUCUUUUUUAUGUCCAAAUAGGUGGCACAAUACCUGGCACAUAGUAGGCACUCAAUAAGUGUUUAUAGACUUUCGCUAAAUUGAACUCCCUCCUUGACCACCCAACUACUUAUGGACUCAGCUCCUCCUUAAGCUACAUGCCCAAACCUCUUGUUUUACCUUAUUUUUCCAGGUGGGAUGCUGACCAUUUGGGGAACUCUCUUGUCCACUGCAUUUUUCACACGCUCUUGCUUCCAUGACAAGCACUUGAAGUUAACUCAGCACUCUCUGGUCCUUUCAACCUUUUCCCUCUAUCCUCAUCUUCUCACUAUUGUUCUUGCAAAGGUUUUCCCUGUCCACCCCCGUUCUUCUCUGUGGAUCCAGUCUAGUGUCUUUCAGUUCAUUCUCACACUUCGACCAGAGAGA
Equus quagga is the source of this 2121-nucleotide long non-coding RNA. RefSeq lists it as uncharacterized. The transcript has 3 exons. Lineage: Eukaryota; Metazoa; Chordata; Mammalia; Perissodactyla; Equidae. The record is from RefSeq and is a predicted model, not a curated record.